This 485-nucleotide ribosomal RNA is filed under the name uncultured bacterium. Its description in RNAcentral is "partial 16S ribosomal RNA". It matches the Rfam family "Bacterial small subunit ribosomal RNA", at positions 30 to 507 of the family's 1533-position model. The record is from RNAcentral.
UUGAACGCUGGCGGCAUACCUUACACAUGCAAGUCGCACGGCAGCACGGGUGCUUGCACCUGGUGGCGAGUGGCGAACGGGUGAGUAAUACAUCGGAACAUGUCCUGUAGUGGGGGAUAGCCCGGCGAAAGCCGGAUUAAUACCGCAUACGAUCUACGGAUGAAAGCGGGGGACCUUCGGGCCUCGCGCUAUAGGGUUGGCCGAUGGCUGAUUAGCUAGUUGGUGGGGUAAAGGCCUACCAAGGCGACGAUCAGUAGCUGGUCUGAGAGGACGACCAGCCACACUGGGACUGAGACACGGCCCAGACUCCUACGGGAGGCAGCAGUGGGGAAUUUUGGACAAUGGGCGAAAGCCUGAUCCAGCAAUGCCGCGUGUGUGAAGAAGGCCUUCGGGUUGUAAAGCACUUUUGUCCGGAAAGAAAUCCUUGGCCCUAAUACGGUCGGGGGAUGACGGUACCGGAAGAAUAAGCACCGGCUAACUACGUG